Molecule: non-coding RNA, 363 nt
Organism: Podarcis muralis (Common wall lizard)
Lineage: Eukaryota; Metazoa; Chordata; Lepidosauria; Squamata; Lacertidae
Source: RefSeq, a predicted model, not a curated record
UGGGGACUGACCUGGGACCUUCUGCAAGCCAAGCAGGAAAUUACAGCGCAAAAAACUAUUGCCAUUUUCCAGGUUGACAGAGUUGCAAACGGAUAUUUUGUGGGAGCAAUUAACACAGAAGUGAGCGCUAAACUUUCCAAAAGUGGCCUUUAUGCCACGUGAAAGAACACACAAGAUGUGAAAAGGCUCAGCACUGUCAAGUAUUCAGAGCAGUUUGUAUGCAGGCCCCGAAUGCAGUCUUCGCAAGCACCCUGUAAGACUUAGCCCUUGUAAAGAGGAGCUUGGGCAGUGAGCGUUUUUCCAUGUCUUCUGGCUCAGUGGAGUUCUUUAUCGGAAGCGCUGGGAACUUCUGUUUUCCAGAUU